RNAcentral lists this long non-coding RNA (6163 nucleotides) under Populus tremula. Its description in RNAcentral is "long non-coding RNA (PTRE_LNC002657)". Lineage: Eukaryota; Viridiplantae; Streptophyta; Magnoliopsida; Malpighiales; Salicaceae. The record is from RNAcentral.
GCCAAGCAAAGACGAUUCUUUCAAAACCAAUCCAAUGAAUUUCUUGAGUGAGAGGACUCUCAAGGGUACUUUCUUUGGAAAUUACAAGCCGCGCACUGACCUUCCUUCAGUUGUGGAGAAGUACAUGAACAAGGUAACUUCAAUCCCCAUUAAUCAAUCUCUAUACCGUAGAAUUAUGGUUUCCAUUAGUGCUGAUCGGAAGCAAUCUGUAUAUGAAGUUUCUCAAAAUAUCUAUUUGAAUCAUCAUUAACAGUGACAUUGUUUUAUUUUAAGAACAUUAUCAUAGGCAACAAAGCAGCCAUUCCUCCUCCUUUGGUUUUGAACAUUCUAUCAUCAUGCAAAAACCCUCUUAUCCUAACUAGUUGUUAUAUGUGCAGGAGCUUGAGCUAGAGAAAUUUAUAUCCCAUGAAGUCCCUUUCUCUGAAAUCAACAAGGCUUUCGAGUACAUGCUCGCUAAAGCUAGCCUCAGGUGUAUUAUCCGGAUGGGUGCAUAAAAGAAGAAUCACCUUUGUUGAUUUUCAGGUGUAUUGCCUGAGCUAGCCUCAGGCGUAUUAUGUUCCGGUGGAAAUCAGUUAGAUGAAACAAUAAAAUCCAUGCUUUAGAUUGAUAAUUAAGUAAGCUCUUACCACUACACUUCCUCAUGAGAAUAAAUAAGAUUUUGACGUGUUUUUGUUACUAAAGGUUAUCAUCACGUUCAUCUAUUUCACGAGAAGAAAACAAACACAGGAAAAUUAUAGAGUUGUUAUAAUUAUAAGAUUUUUAUUAUAUCAAAGCAUUGUUCAUAAAAUAUUUUUAGUUAAUGAUCUCUAAAAUACUGGACAUUCAUUAAAGUCAUAAAAACAAGUACAUAGUAUGUUAUUUCUUUUAUAAAAGGAAACAUGUGUUCUCAUAAGUUGAGGUAUAAAGGAUACCUAGAAUUAAUAUGUAGGUGCUUGUCAGAAGACAUGUACAUUAAAUUGAUUGACAUGAAAAUUUUAUAUAGAGAGAUUAUCUAUGUCUAUAGAAAGGCUCAUGUAACGGUUGUGUAUGUGAUCCUUAGACUUGAGAUCACUAAGUCAUUUUAUAUAGAGAAUGUUAUGAUUUGAUCAUGUUACAUGUUAUCUUAAUCGAGGCAACGAAAAUGCAAACAUUGGGUAUAACAUGAAUUAUAUAAAGGUACUUGAGUGAUUAAGAGAACAUUCAUCACCCUGGGUGAAUUAGAAAAAAUAUUUCAUUUGUUCUCAAAUAGUAUUCAUUGAGAAAUCCUUGGUCCAUGUGGAAUGAGAUUUGAAAAGAGUUUCAAAUCUUAUUCAAGCCAUCAAUGAUUAUUAUGUAAAGAACAAACAUGACAGACAUACUAUAUGUUUUAAUGUUAAAUUGAAACAUUAUUGAUGAAAGUAUAUUAAUUACACUAAUAAACCAUCACUGAAAUGUUAUGUCAAACCACUAAUGAUUUUUUUAAUAUUUAAUGGAUCAUAAUAUGUUGUUAAACGAUAUGUCUGAUCUUCAAAUAUAAAUUAAUAAAUUGUUUAAUUGAUAAUAAAUUAAAUUAUUUAAUUUAUUUAAUUCUAUAUAAUUAGAAUUAUAAUUUAUAUUUGAGCCAACAUAUUAGAAACUUAAUGGGUCACACACAUUAAGAAUUAUUAGUCAAAAAUUAAAUUGAGAUGAUUUAAUUAAGUAUGACUUGAUUAAAAUAUAUUUUAAAAAUUAAAAAUUAGAAUAUAAUUAAUACAAGGAUUAUAGUUCUAAACUUAGAAAAAUCAAGUAAGAAAUUGAUUGAGUUAAUUUAUAAAAUUAUCCUUAAUUAAUAUAUAGUUAUUAUUCAGAAGCAAAUUAAUAUUUUACUAAUUUAUAGGGUUUUUUCAGAUUUUCCCUAUAAAUAGUAAGUUAUGCCUCUUAUUUUAUAGAGGUUUUAUGCUAUACAGAAAAACUACUUAAACAUAAAAUUAGAACUAGCACUCUAGCCAUAACAAUUCCUUUCUCCUAAAUAGGGAUUUGAAAUAUUUUUCAUUGAUAGUUUGUGUGAAUUACUGUUAAAGACUAGACAAUUGAAUAACUUAUGGUUUGCGACAACCCAACCUUUAAAGAAUUAUUCAAAGCCGAAAAAGAUCGGAUUUUCAAGUAAUAAAUUUUUAAACAACCCUAGAUUUAUCUAACAGGAUCUUAGGGACUCUCAAAUAAUAUUAUUUUCUAAUUUUUACUACGUGUAUGAUAUUUAGAAACUCAACCUCUGCUACAAGAUUAAUAUGGCUAUUGAUAUCUUCGACAAAUCUGUCUAUACAAAACAAACACAAAAUUCUCUCUCUCUUAAUAUAAGAAAUCAACAACUAGUUAUCAAGCAAACCAAGAAAAUGUUUGGUUGAAACAUGUGUGGUGUGAUUUUCUCUGCUAAUAUUUUGAGCAUGACUACAAUUUCUAGGGCUGAAGAAAGUUUGUUGCAAAUAUUGCUGGCAUACAUAUAAAUGGUGUAAUAAGUUUAACAUUCAUGAUGUGACCCACAAAGGCACUUUUGGUUUGAAUUGGGUAAAAUAUGUUCUCUCAUUCACAAAAUAAUUUUAAUUUUACAUACUAACCUUCAAAAACUUCAUAUGAGAAAUUAUCUUACAAGGUGGAUUGAUGAUUGCAUAUUUUACUUGUUAGAUUAUUAUAUGAUUGAGUUAUGAAGGUGUAUUUAGUCAUGUUUUUGUUAUUUUUAUAUUUCAUAACUCUUUAGCCAUUCAUUAAAAUAUAAUGAAGUUUGGGAAAUAAAUAAAUAUUAUUUGUUGACUUUUUUUAUGAUGCCAACUCCUGAGAAUAUAAAGUGUUAUUUGUUUUUAAAAUUCAAAUUAUAAAUUGUAAUAUUCAAAAACUUAGUUGUAAAGUGAAAAAGAAAUAAAUCAAACCAUAGUAUUCUUAAAGUAAUUUACCUAAAUUUAAAAUGGAAACAAAUUAAGGAAUUUAACCAGAUUUUGAAAGGACUAUUCCCGAACUGAUAAUGAACCCAAAUAUUUUACUAGGUCACACAAAUCAAUUUUAUUUUUACUAUUAUUGAAACUAAGCUUAGACUCCAUUUCACCUAGAUUAUACGUCAACCAGUCAGAUCAGAUCAGAUCAUAUAUUUUUUGAAUUGUAAUUCCCUUUAAUUACAAGUAAAUAAGUCAUGUUAUAUAUUAAUUGGUUAUUUGUAUUUUCAGUGAGGAUUUAUAUUCCUUAUUUUUUAGAAAAAAAUAAAAAUAAAACUUUUGCAAAAUAAACAAAAAAAAAAGUUUCUCACGGCAUUUUAAAUGAGAUGUUUUUUUAAUAUUUCCAGAGAAUUUGCAGAAAAUGGCCGUGUUUUCUCUAUAAAAAACAUUCUUUUGACAGCCUGCACUUCAUUAAAAAAACAAUAAAGGUAAGUGUUUGUCCGGCUGGAUUACAAUAUUCUAAAAGGUCAACUACUUGCCGGCGUUGCCGCUGCAGUGUAAAGGAAACAAACAGCAAAACCACAAAUGGAAAUAAAAAAACUAGAAACGCUAAUUGCAACACAGUCCUUCAAUUAUGGUAGAUAUUUCAAUUAAAUGUCAAACUAUAUACUCAUUAUCAAUUUUUCCAUCAACGAUCAAUCGCUUAAAAAUAAUUUCCAUACCAUGUAAUUUUUCUUUUGAGUGUCAAGAACUACUAGAUAUCGUAAUAUUAAUUGAAAAAAAAACACUACACAAGAGAUUUUUUUUAUCACAAAAUAAAAUAAAACUUCUAGUUAGUUUAAGAAAUUGUAAACUCUGCGAAAUGUUUGUCAAAACUACAAAUCUCUCUCCUUUUUUAUAGAAUUUUUUUUAAUAAAGAAAACCAGUGACAUUUGUACGAUAAAUUUGCAAAAUUGUUUAUUCAGAUAGUAUUAAAAACGUAUAGCAUAGUUUGAGGACAGGUUUGUAGUUAGCCAAAACCAGACACAAAUUAAAUAGAGAAACCAGAAAGCCAGAAACAGGGGGAGCCGUUGUUGCCAACAAGAGAGAAACAGAGGACAAACGAAACAGCAGGAUCGUAAAUGGUUUUCUUUUAAAACAUAUUCAAAUUUAUGGUCAACAGAAUCCAAAAAACAGGAGAGACACGCGUCCUUCUGCAACUAUAAAUACCUACAACGACAACCUGUCUCGUCACAACUCAAUAAACAGAGCAAAGUAAUCAAAGAAGCGUUAAAGAACGGUCCAAAGUUCGUUUAAGACAAAAACAAAUAUGUCAAGCACUACUGGUCAAGUCAUAUGUUGCAAAGGUAACCAAGAAAGCUCAUGAUUCCUUGUGGGGUCUGUGAUAUGUUCUUUGUGCUAUUGUCAUUUUGUGUAUCUGGAUUUCUCAUUUAUGUCUGGCAAUGACUGGAUGCAUUUUGUUUAAUCUGUAGCUGCUGUGGCAUGGGAAGCUGGAAAGCCACUGGUGAUGGAGGAAGUGGAGGUGGCUCCACCUCAAGCCAUGGAGGUUCGUUUGAAGAUCCUCUUUACCUCCCUCUGCCACACUGAUGUUUACUUCUGGGAAGCCAAGGUUAUUCACAUUUUCUAUUGUGAUUAUUAUGUCUGCUCAUUGGUCUUUUUAUAAGUCAUACUAGUAGAGAUUUAUGCUUACGAAAAUGGGCUGUGAAAUUGCAGGGUCAAACCCCAUUGUUUCCUCGAAUUUUUGGUCAUGAAGCAGGAGGGUAUGAAUUUGAACCAUUAGUCCAUUAUUGGUCAUGAUUAGAUGUUGGUUCUGACUGUUGUAAUGGCGAUGAAUUGAGGUGACUAAUUUGAUUUUUUGUCCUCUUGGCUUUUAGGAUUGUUGAGAGUGUUGGGGAGAGCGUGACAGACCUCAAACCCGGUGACCAUGUGCUUCCUGUCUUCACAGGAGAGUGUAAGGAAUGCCGACAUUGCAAAUCAGAAGAGAGUAAUAUGUGCGAUCUUCUUAGGAUUAACACUGACAGGGGUGUGAUGCUGAAUGAUGGCAAGUCAAGGUUUUCGAUCAGAGGACAGCCCAUUUACCAUUUUGUUGGCACCUCAACCUUCAGCGAGUACACUGUGGUUCAUGUUGGCUGUGUUGCCAAGAUCAAUCCUGCUGCUCCUCUUGACAAAGUUUGUGUUCUCAGCUGUGGAAUCUCUACAGGUCGGGAGAAAUGGGGAUUUGAUAAAAAUCAUUGAGUGAGGGGAUUUGUUGCUUUCUUUUAAUGGGGAUUUCUCUUUUGACUUGUAGGUCUUGGUGCCACCUUGAAUGUUGCAAAACCAAAGAAAGGCUCUUCGGUAGCCAUUUUCGGACUGGGAGCUGUAGGCCUCGCAGUAAGUUUGUUUAUACUGGUAGAUUAUUGAUAAUGUUUUCUGUUGAAGCUGCUGGUAGCGCUAAUGCAGAACUUGUUCUUGUUUUUUUUUCCUAAUCCAGGCUGCUGAAGGGGCUCGGAUUGCUGGUGCUUCAAGAAUCAUUGGUGUCGAUUUGAAUUCCAAUAGAUUCGAUGAAGGUGAGAGAAGCUAUAUAUGAUGAUGUUCGUUGUGGCUGCUGCGCAUUUCUCUUAAAUUAUUGAUUGAUGCUUUGCUCAGUCUAAUAGCUAAAAUCACAAAACUGAUAAAUUUAAGUGGACUUGAUGUUGAUUCUUGGUGAUAGUAACUGCUUUCUGAUGUUCAUUUGUCUUUUUUCAACAGCCAAGAAGUUUGGUGUGACUGAGUUUGUGAACCCAAAAGAUCAUAACAAGCCUGUUCAAGAGGUAAGUGACACAGUGAAUCGUGUUCUGAGAGACUAGCAUCGGCGAAUCCUUUAAGUCUGUCCUAAUUUUGAUUUACUGUGCUCAGGUGAUAGCUGAAAUGACCAAUGGAGGAGUUGAUCGAAGUGUCGAGUGUACUGGAAGUGUCAAUGCCAUGAUUUCUGCAUUUGAAUGCGUCCAUGAUGGAUGGGGCGUUGCUGUACUUGUUGGUGUGCCAAACAAAGAUGAUUCUUUCAAAACCCAUCCAAUGAAUGUCCUGAAUGAGAGGACUCUCAAGGGCACCUUCUUCGGGAACUACAAACCGCGCUCCGACCUUCCUUCAGUUGUCGAGAAGUACAUGAACAAGGUAAAUCGGAGCUCCCAUUAAUCUUAUCCGGCCAGCAUGUGUAUUCGACUAGCCUCUGUUGGUAUUUCUUAGGGGGAACCUAAACAUAAAACCGUUCAAAGCAUCAGCUUAAAUGAUCAUCUUUACAUUGCCAACCACUCGAAUUCCUUAUUUUAUUUUGAUUCAAUCUC